RNAcentral lists this ribosomal RNA (478 nucleotides) under uncultured bacterium. RNAcentral describes it as "partial 16S ribosomal RNA". It matches the Rfam family "Bacterial small subunit ribosomal RNA", at positions 28 to 523 of the family's 1533-position model. The record is from RNAcentral.
GACGAACGCUGGCGGCGUGCUUAACACAUGCAAGUCGAACGGUAAGGCCCUUCGGGGUACACGAGUGGCGAACGGGUGAGUGACACGUGGGUGAUCUGCCCUGCACUUCUGGAUAAGCCUGGGAAACUGGGUCUAAUACCGGAUAGGACCACUGCCUGCAUGGGUGGUGGUGGAAAGCUUUUGUGGUGUGGGAUGGGCCCGCGGCCUAUCAGCUUGUUGGUGGGGUGAUGGCCUACCAAGGCGACGACGGGUAGCCGGCCUGAGAGGGUGACCGGCCACACUGGGACUGAGAUACGGCCCAGACUCCUACGGGAGGCAGCAGUGGGGAAUAUUGCACAAUGGGCGCAAGCCUGAUGCAGCGACGCCGCGUGAGGGAUGACGGCCUUCGGGUUGUAAACCUCUUUCAGCACCGACGAAGCGCAAGUGACGGUAGGUGCAGAAGAAGGACCGGCCAACUACGUGCCAGCCGCCGCCGUAA